RNAcentral lists this unclassified non-coding RNA (356 nucleotides) under soil metagenome. Its description in RNAcentral is "partial contains 5.8S ribosomal RNA, internal transcribed spacer 2, and large subunit ribosomal RNA". The stretch from base 1 to 120 matches the Rfam family "5.8S ribosomal RNA", at positions 35 to 154 of the family's 154-position model. The record is from RNAcentral.
GAUGAAGAACGUAGCGAAAUGCGAUAAGUAAUGUGAAUUGCAGAAUUCAGUGAAUCAUCGAAUCUUUGAACGCACAUUGCGCCCGUUAGCAUUCUAGCGGGCAUGCCUGUCCGAGCGUCAUUUCAACCCUCAGGGUCCCCGUUCCGGCGGGGAACCUGGUGUUGGGGAUCGGCCCGCCCCGUGCGGCGCCGUCCCCCAAAUUCAGUGGCGGUCUCGCUGCAGCCUCCCCUGCGUAGUAGUUACAACCUCGCAUCGGAGCUCAGCGCGGCCACGCCGUAAAACCCCCGACUUUCUGAACGUUGACCUCGGAUCAGGUAGGAAUACCCGCUGAACUUAAGCAUAUCAAUAAGCGCGGA